This 465-nucleotide ribosomal RNA is filed under the name Vreelandella stevensii. RNAcentral's name for it is "partial 16S ribosomal RNA". It matches the Rfam family "Bacterial small subunit ribosomal RNA", at positions 338 to 795 of the family's 1533-position model. Lineage: Bacteria; Pseudomonadati; Pseudomonadota; Gammaproteobacteria; Oceanospirillales; Halomonadaceae. The record is from RNAcentral.
CCUACGGGUGGCUGCAGUGGGGAAUAUUGGACAAUGGGGGCAACCCUGAUCCAGCCAUGCCGCGUGUGUGAAGAUGGCCCUCGGGUUGUAAAGCACUUUCAGUGAGGAAGAACGCCUGGUGGUUAAUACCCAUCAGGAAAGACAUCACUCACAGAAGAAGCACCGGCUAACUCCGUGCCAGCAGCCGCGGUAAUACGGAGGGUGCGAGCGUUAAUCGGAAUUACUGGGCGUAAAGCGCGCGUAGGUGGCUUGAUAAGCCGGUUGUGAAAGCCCCGGGCUCAACCUGGGAACGGCAUCCGGAACUGUCAAGCUAGAGUGCAGGAGAGGAAGGUAGAAUUCCCGGUGUAGCGGUGAAAUGCGUAGAGAUCGGGAGGAAUACCAGUGGCGAAGGCGGCCUUCUGGACUGACACUGACACUGAGGUGCGAAAGCGUGGGUAGCAAACAGGAUUAGAUACCCUUGUAGUC